Molecule: long non-coding RNA, 606 nt
Organism: Patella vulgata (common limpet)
Lineage: Eukaryota; Metazoa; Mollusca; Gastropoda; Patellidae
Exons: 4
Source: RefSeq, a predicted model, not a curated record
CACAGGAUGACCAUAUAUAAACCACCACAUAUAAACACUCAAAAUACAAUCUGGUGAAACACUUAACUGUCUAAUUCACGUUCCUUAAACAGUUCGAAAAUGUUUGUAGCUUCUGUUACUCUUUUCCUGGUGGCUUCGGUAUAUGGAAGAAUUAUGCCAGGCGGUAUUGAAGAGGCUGAAGUGACCCAAAACAUCAGAAACGCUGCUGAUUUUGCUACUAAUGCCAUCAAUGCCGAGAUAAAACAACAACAAACUGAUUCAAACUGGCACACACUCGCCGAAAUCAACAACCCAACCAAACAGGUUGUAAAUGGUUUGAUGUACGGAAUGGAGAUUGUUUUGAAGGAAUCUGAAUGUCGCAAUCAUGAAAGCAAAAACGGUGCCACCAUCGUAGAUUGUCCUCCACUUGAUAAUGGCGCUACCAAGAAAUGCAAUGUAAUGGUUUGGCACCAACAUAGAAGAGUUCCAGAAUAUACUCUCGAGAGAAAACGAUGCAUUAAUAUUUAAAACUGAAAGUCUCUGUAUUCAGCUGGGGUUCAUGGCGACCUGUCUCUUUAUGAUAAUUGCCAAAUUCGUUACAUGAAUAUUUAAAUAUGCUAAAAAAGA